UCAAGGUGUUAACUCAUAAUAUGUUCACAAAUUUUCAGAAGUCUUGAAAUCCAAAGGUUCUUGAAUUCCGUUGUGUCUGGAUUAAAUUCACUGGCGCUUGGAUUAUUUCGGCUGGCGUUUGGAUUAAAUUGAAUGGCGUUUGGAUUAAAUUGAGUGGCGCUCGGAUUAAAAUCACUGGCACUUGGAUUAAAUUGACUGGCGCUUAGAUUAAAUUGGCUGGCGCUCGGAUUAAAUUGACUGGCGCUUGGAUUAAAUUGAGCGGGAAAACCUGUAGAGCGACGCUGUCACACAUGUUGUGGGAGUGUCGGGUUACAUCAGCUACAAUGGCAGUAGCUCCGGAGGCUCUUGCGUCGAAGUGGGCCGCCGCUCUGCGCAGCUCCAACCUCAAGACACAAGAGUGGGCUGUCCAGCAAGCCCGAGAGGCGGCGACGAGGCAAGGCCUCGAAGUCCCCUCAUGGGAGACCUGAGCCCGGGUCGACAAAUUUGCCGGAUUCAAAAUAAAGUUGUUUCCAUCCAUCCAUCAUGAAGAAGAGGACGAAUUUUCCAGUCGCGUGUUAUUAAAACGCAGAGUACAAAGUCCUGCGCAGCCGACAACCAAAUUCAUUCGGGAUGCUACAACUGCUCGCCAAAUCGUCAGUUUGGCACAGCUACCGACCUCGUGGUUCAAGACGAGAUCCUUUGCUGCUUGCAGUCGCAUCAGCUUCGCCACCACUUCAACCAACUCGACCCGAGCUUUACCGUCAAGAAAGCAAUGGAGAUUGCUCAGGAAGAGGAAUUCACCGACAAAUUAAAGCAGCAGCUCGGCGUUCUACAAGUAGACGCCAUCCAAUGUUCUCAUCGCAGCGGUUCGCGGCGUUUGCAGCAUCAUACGGCGUCGACUAUGUCACCAGUAGUCCGCACUACGCUCAAACUGAGAGGCAGAGAGAAUGGUUCAGAGAAUCAAGGACGCAUCCCACAAAACAAAGGAUCCUAAUCUGACCCAGCUCAGUUAACGGUAUACACCAGGAGUAAACGGCGUUCUGAUAAGCGUUGUGAUCUCCAUUGCCAUAGAGUUCACUAGCGACAUUAGGAACAUAGCUGAUGACGGCCGUUGACGCCAUCAUAGACCAGCUUUUUUUUUUUUUUGCGACCGCUGUAACUAUAAGGAAUUUUUUUAGACAUUCCAUAGGCAUCUCACAUAAAAUGCUCCUCAUUCUCUCAAAAUUUCAACUUUGUCACACAAUGAGCUUUUUCAGGACAUUGGGAAAACUUGCGCAGUUCCUAAUUCACUCUUGUAUAAGCAAUAUUAAACAGGGGACGUAGCGGGAGCAGGCUUGUGUUGAAUAGAGAGAGAGAUUGAAAAAAAGGUGACUUCACGUUCCGCUUGCGCGCUCCAUGCAGCGCGCACGCCUGCAUAAUUUAGCUGAGCGGUUCACAGCAGUUUGUGCUACCGCGGACUCUCUCUUCUUUUUUUCUUUUAAGCCCGAAAGGUCGUUCAGGAUCCCAUUAACUGUUUUACACUGACAGGAAAAUGUGCUAACUCGUGCUCCGCGCUCCCGAUUUCUUUCUAGGAAAAGAUGUUGGCAACACUUGUGAAUAGAAGCUCUUGUAUUUAAAAAGUUCUUGUGAUUUGCAGUCAUGGGCAGCGGCGUCCUCCGGCUGCAACUGAGCCGUUGGGAAGACGACGGCCAAGGACACCAUCUCCAGCCCUUCGGAACAGAAGUGGCCGUCGUCUACCGUGAGAUCGAACACACGAUGGCUCUCAAGAUUGUUGCCUUAAUUCUCAAUUUUGCAUUUUAGCAAUAAAUUUGACAUCUGCAUGAAUUGUUUCCAUCAUUGGAUGAUAUUUCAGGUGAGACCUAUGCUGCGCAUAAACAGAAACGCUGCACGAGUAUAAACGUCGCAUAUACGAUAAAUGCGUCGCUACAAAAGCUUAUGCUGAGGGUAGUACUGCAUAUUGCAGCAAGCAGUGGGCUUAGCCUUAGCUUUUGCUAUUUCAUUAUAUUACUUACUAUGCUCACGUAUGUUAGAUAUUGCUAUGAUGGGCAUUUACUUAUGACAUAUUGUAGUAAGACACCACAAUGCUAAAAGAAAUCUUCUUUCUACAGGUGGGGAUCUACUUCCAGGAGCCCAACACAAUUUGGGCUCGAGUAAAUCGCACGAACGCACUUAACGACAUGACGAACAGAAUCGAGUUGAUCACCGGGGACACCCGAACAUCAUGUGCCGAGAGUGCGCGCAAGAAAUAUCGACGAGUGCAACUUGUCGUUGAGCAUAGACAACCUCCAACAAGCAGCGAAUGCCUUUCCGGCUGAACCUACAUGUGGACACCACACGCAUCUUGUAAAUACUGCAGGACGUGGAGGACGGUCAGCCUCUCCCCGCAUCUACCGCAGGUUGGAGGCUCGUUUCCAACAAGCACCAGAAGAAAAAAGGAACUGUUCAACAAGACGUCCUCGUGCAUCUAUACGAGGGUCGCCCCACAGGUAGUUAUGUGCAUUGAAAUCGCCAAGAACAGCAUAGGGUUCUGGCAAUUCAUCAAUAAGGGACUGAAAUUCAUGUUUGCUUAGUUUAUAAUGUGGGGGUAUAUAAAGUGAGCAAAUAGUGAUAAGCUUGUUUAGCAGAAUAACUCGAACCGCCACUGCCUCAAGGGCCGUUUGUAGCUGCAAACGUUGACAGGCUAUGCUUUUUUGAAUUACAAUGGCGACACCGCCCGAUGAUGCGAUAGCAUCGUCGCGAUCUUUGCGAUAAGUGACGUGCUGUCGAAGAAAAUUUGUGUGUUUUGGUUUUAAGUGUGUUUCCUGUAAACACAGCACUUUUGGAUUGUGUUUGUGGAUGAGUUCUUGUACAUCGUCAAGGUUUCUAAGGAGACCUCUGACGUUCCAUUGUAUGAUUUGUGUAUCCAUAUUUAGUGUAAAUUAGUGCUGUGUGUACGGAAACGGAAGUGAUGCAUUAGAUUACAGAGCUCUUUCGAGGCCCUGUAACCGGGGUUUUGCCUUUUUUGAAGCGUUCGAGGGAACCUCGCCGCUCCUUAGGCGCUUGGCGCGCCGUGGGGGUAGGUGUUGUGUCCAUUGCCUCUUGUGAGGCGCCGGACACGCGCUCUUGCGAGCGAGAAGUUUUUCGGGAGAGUCUCACCUCGGAAGGCAAAACCCCUGCGCCCACCUGCCCGGAGGUCGAUGGGGCUCCCUGUGGAAUUUGGCUGCGCCGGCUGUUGCCAGCGCUGGGAGGAGCCGGGGAGGUCGAGGCAGCCUCGGCUGCGCCUACCUUCGGGGCCACUAUCGGUACUGCGGCAUCGCUGCGUGUAGCGCAGGUUGCCGCCGAUAACUCUUGUGGGGCCGGCAACCCAAGGGUAGCCUGGCCGGUUUGCUGGCUGGAUGGAGUAGGCUUACCUACUUCCACCCUAGGGGCAGAAGCCAAAGGUGCCUGCUCGCUGCACGCGGGCAUGGCACUUGGCAUUGGCCGCUGCGACGCCGCCCCCCGACGCGCCGCAUCAGCGUAAGGUGUGUUGUGGAAAGGAGAGCACCUUUUACGGGCUUCCUUAAACGAAAUAUUUUCCUUGACUUUAAGGGUGAUUAUAUCUUUUUCUUUCUUCCAGUUUGGACAGGAGCGUGAGUAAGCGGGAUGGUCACCACUGCAGUUCACACAGUGAGGUGUGCCACUGCAGUUGUCGGAGGGGUGGCCCUGCACUCCACAUUUUGCACAAGUUAUUUGACCACGGCAGCUCUGCGAGCCAUGGCCGAACCUCUGACAUUUGAAACACCUUCUAGGGUUGGGGAUAUAUGGUCGAACAUUUAAUCUGAUGUAUCCUGUUUCGAUAGUUUCUGGCAGUGUGCUGGAUGCAAAUGUUAGGAUAAGAUGCUUUGUGGGGAUUUCCUUGUUGUCUCGUCUAAUUAUAAUACGUUUUACUUCAGUGACAUUUUGUUCUUUCCAUCCUUCCAAGAGUUCAGCUUCUGUCAAGUCUAGGAGGUCUGCCUCUGACACGACUCCCCGUGAGCUGUUCAUUGUUCGGUGUUGUGUAAUAGAUAUUGGUAUGUUACCAAAUGUCACAAGACUGCCAAGCUUUUCGUACAGUUGUUUCUGAGGGAUCUCAAGGAGAAGGUCCCCGCUAGCCAUUUUCGUUACCUUAUAACCUGCCCCUAAGGCUUCGGUCAAAGAUUUUGCUACUGUGAAUGGAGAAAUAAAUCUAGCUUGUUUUUCAGGGCUCUCACUGUGUACUACGUGGUAUUUUGGAUAGGUCUCUUUCGUGCGGUUGAAACAAUUGCUUAAGUCUUCGGUGCGUCCCCUCUUCUGAGGGUGACGAUCAAGUAGGCGGGGAAAUGCGGGUGUUCCCAUAGUAAUUUGAAAUGUUUUCAGCAGCAAUGGCGGCCACCCACCAUGGAGCCCAACUUGGGGACGCUGCAGGACUUAACGGGUAAGGCUACAGGCGCCAGCCGUACACUGCCACUAUAACCUAAUAUAUUAUACCCAAGGGAGGGCACAUACACAAGGUUAACCCUUGCCGCCGUGGAGACAGGAAGUAAAUGGAAGAGAGAAGAAGACAGGAAAGUUGAAAAAGGCGAGAGAGAAAGACGAAGAUUGGAGAGGAGGACAGGAAAAGGCGACUGCCGAUUUCCCCCGGGUGGGUCAGUCCGGGGGUGCCGUCUAUGUGAAGCAGAGGCCAAAGGGGUGUGUUGCCUCCGCCGGGGGGCCGUUAAGGUCCAAACACCCGGCAUUGGCUCAACCCCCAGGAUCCCCUUUUCCCCGGACACGGCUAAGCCGCGCACGGCUACACGCGGGAGGGUCCAACCCUCGUGUGCUCGGGUACGUGGUGUCGCAACGCACCAAACGCCUGCUGACGCAGACGCCCCUGCGGGGGCUCAAACUGAGAGGCAGAGAGAAUGGUUCAGAGAAUCAAGGACGCAUCCCACAAAACAAAGGAUCCUAAUCUGACCCAGCUCAGUUAACGGUAUACACCAGGAGUAAACGGCGUUCUGAUAAGCGUUGUGAUCUCCAUUGCCAUAGAGUUCACUAGCGACAUUAGGAACAUAGCUGAUGACGGCCGUUGACGCCAUCAUAGACCAGCUUUUUUUUUUUUGCGACCGCUGUAACUAUAAGGAAUUUUUUUAGACAUUCCAUAGGCAUCUCACAUAAAAUGCUCCUCAUUCUCUCAAAAUUUCAACUUUGUCACACAAUGAGCUUUUUCAGGACAUUGGGAAAACUUGCGCAGUUCCUAAUUCACUCUUGUAUAAGCAAUAUUAAACAGGGGACGUAGCGGGAGCAGGCUUGUGUUGAAUAGAGAGAGAGAUUGAAAAAAAGGUGACUUCACGUUCCGCUUGCGCGCUCCAUGCAGCGCGCACGCCUGCAUAAUUUAGCUGAGCGGUUCACAGCAGUUUGUGCUACCGCGGACUCUCUCUUCUUUUUUCUUUUGCCAAGCCCGGAAGGUCGUUCAGGAUCCCAUUAACUGUUUUACACUGACAGGAAAAUGUGCUAACUCGUGCUCCGCUCCCGAUUUCUUUCUAGGAAAAGAUGUUGGCAACACUUGUGAAUAGAAGCUCUUGUAUUUAAAAAGUUCUUGUGAUUUGCAGUCAUGGGCAGCGGCGUCCUCCGGCUGCAACUGAGCCGUUGGGAAGACGACGGCCAAGGAGACCAUCUCCAGCCCUUCGGAACAGAAGUGGCCGUCGUCUACCGUGAGAUCGAACACACGAUGGCUCUCAAGAUUGUUGCCUUAAUUCUCAAUUUUGCAUUUUAGCAAUAAAUUUGACAUCUGCAUGAA
Molecule: non-coding RNA, 5731 nt
Organism: Dermacentor albipictus
Lineage: Eukaryota; Metazoa; Arthropoda; Arachnida; Ixodida; Ixodidae
Source: RefSeq, a predicted model, not a curated record